GGAUCCAGACUUUGAUCCUGGCUCAGGAUGAACGCUAGCUACAGGCUUAACACAUGCAAGUCGAGGGGCAGCGGUAUCGAAAGCUUGCUUUCGGUAGCCGGCGACCGGCGCACGGGUGAGUAACGCGUAUCGAACCUGCCUCAUACUCGGGAAUAGCCUUGCGAAAGUAAGAUUAAUGCCCGGUGUUUUCAGAGUCCCGCAUGAGGCUUUGAACAAAGAUUUAUCGGUAUGAGAUGGCGAUGCGUCCCAUUAGCUUGUUGGCGGGGUAACGGCCCACCAGGGCAUCGAUGGGUAGGGGUUCUGAGAGGAAGGUCCCCCACAUUGGAACUGAGACACGGUCCAAACUCCUACGGGAGGCAGCAGUGAGGAAUAUUGGUCAAUGGGCGGAAGCCUGAACCAGCCAAGUAGCGUGCAGGAAGACGGCCCUCCGGGUUGUAAACUGCUUUUAGUUGGGAAUAAAACGGGGCUCGUGAGCCCCCUUGCAUGUACCAUCAGAAAAAGGACCGGCUAAUUCCGUGCCAGCAGCCGCGGUAAUACGGAAGGUUCGGGCGUUAUCCGGAUUUAUUGGGUUUAAAGGGAGCGCAGGCGGACCUUUAAGUCAGCUGUGAAAUACGGCGGCUCAACCGUCGAACUGCAGUUGAUACUGGAGGUCUUGAGUGCACACAGGGAUGCUGGAAUUCAUGGUGUAGCGGUGAAAUGCUCAGAUGUCAUGAAGAACUCCGAUCGCGAAGGCAGGCAUCCGGGGUGCAACUGACGCUGAGGCUCGAAAGUGCGGGUAUCAAACAGGAUUAGAUACCCUGGUAGUC
This 806-nucleotide ribosomal RNA is filed under the name uncultured Bacteroidota bacterium. RNAcentral describes it as "bacterial SSU rRNA". It matches the Rfam family "Bacterial small subunit ribosomal RNA", at positions 1 to 795 of the family's 1533-position model. Lineage: Bacteria; Pseudomonadati; Bacteroidota. The record is from RNAcentral.